CCUACGGGAGGCAGCAGUGGGGGAUAUUGCACAAUGGGGGGAACCCUGAUGCAGCGACGCCGCGUGUGGGAAGACGGUCCUCUGGAUUGUAAACCACUGUGCCCAGGGACGAAAAUGACGGUACCUGGGGAGGAAGCUCCGGCUAACUACGUGCCAGCAGCCGCGGUAAUACGUAGGGAGCGAGCGUUGUCCGGAAUUACUGGGUGAAAAGGGGGCGUAGGCGGGGACGCAAGCUGGGGGUAAAAACCAGGGGCUAAACCGGGUGUCGCACUUGAAACUGCAGCUCUUGAGUGAAGUAGGGGCAGGCGGAAUUCGUGGUGUAGCGGUGAAAUGCGUAGAUAUUAGGAGGAACACCGGUGGCGAAGGCGGCCUGCUGGGCUUUGACUGACGCUGAGGCUCGAAAGUGUGGGGAGCAAACAGGAUUAGAUACCCGGGUAGUC
Molecule: ribosomal RNA, 440 nt
Filed under: uncultured bacterium
Lineage: Bacteria
Description: partial 16S ribosomal RNA
Rfam family: Bacterial small subunit ribosomal RNA
Source: RNAcentral